GCCGUCUUAGCUCAGAUAGGUAGAGCACAUCCAUGGUAAGGAUGAGGUCGGCGGUUCAAGUCCGCUAGACGGCUCUA
Molecule: transfer RNA, 77 nt
Filed under: Lactobacillus sp.
Lineage: Bacteria; Bacillati; Bacillota; Bacilli; Lactobacillales; Lactobacillaceae
Also listed under: 2 other names
Description: tRNA-Thr
Rfam family: tRNA
About the family: Transfer RNA (tRNA) molecules are approximately 80 nucleotides in length. Their secondary structure includes four short double-helical elements and three loops (D, anti-codon, and T loops). Further hydrogen bonds mediate the characteristic L-shaped molecular structure. tRNAs have two regions of fundamental functional importance: the anti-codon, which is responsible for specific mRNA codon recognition, and the 3' end, to which the tRNAs corresponding amino acid is attached (by aminoacyl-tRNA synthetases). tRNAs cope with the degeneracy of the genetic code in two manners: having more than one tRNA (with a specific anti-codon) for a particular amino acid; and 'wobble' base-pairing, i.e. permitting non-standard base-pairing at the 3rd anti-codon position.
Source: RNAcentral